Molecule: ribosomal RNA, 253 nt
Filed under: uncultured bacterium
Lineage: Bacteria
Description: partial 16S ribosomal RNA
Rfam family: Bacterial small subunit ribosomal RNA
Source: RNAcentral
GACAGAGGAUGCAAGCGUUAUCCGGAAUGAUUGGGCGUAAAGCGUCUGUAGGUGGCUUUUUAAGUCCGCCGUCAAAUCCCAGGGCUCAACCCUGGACAGGCGGUGGAAACUACCAAGCUGGAGUACGGUAGGGGCAGAGGGAAUUUCCGGUGGAGCGGUGAAAUGCGUAGAUAUCAGGAGGAACACCUGUGGCUAAGGCGGCUCUCUAGUACGGUACUGACGCUGAGACGCGAAAGCGUGGGGAGCGAACAGG